RNAcentral lists this ribosomal RNA (422 nucleotides) under Vibrio parahaemolyticus. RNAcentral's name for it is "bacterial LSU rRNA". It matches the Rfam family "Bacterial large subunit ribosomal RNA", at positions 2231 to 2652 of the family's 2925-position model. Lineage: Bacteria; Pseudomonadati; Pseudomonadota; Gammaproteobacteria; Vibrionales; Vibrionaceae. The record is from RNAcentral.
ACCCCUUAUCCGGGUUGCGGAGAGUGCCUGUUGGGUAGUUUGACUGGGUCUGUCUCCUCCCAAAGAGUAGCGGAGGAGCGAGAAGGUGGGCUGAUCUCGGUUGGACAUCGUGAGGUUAGUGCAGUGACAUAAGCCCGCUUGACUGCGAGAAUGACAAUUCGAGCAGGUUGGAAAGCAGGUCAUGGUGAUCCGGUGGUUCUGAAUGGAAGGGCCAUCGCUCAACGGAUAAAAGGUACUCCGGGGAUAACAGGCUGUUGCCGCCCAAGACUGCAGUUCGAAGGCGGUGUUUGGCACCGCGAUAUCGGCUCAUCACAUCCUGGGGCUGAAGUCGGUCCCAAGGGUAUGGCUGUUCGCAAUUUAAAGUGGUACGCGAGCUGGGUUUAGAGCGUCGUGAGACAGUUCGGUCCCUAUCUGCCGUGGGC